This 253-nucleotide ribosomal RNA is filed under the name uncultured bacterium. RNAcentral's name for it is "partial 16S ribosomal RNA". It matches the Rfam family "Bacterial small subunit ribosomal RNA", at positions 524 to 776 of the family's 1533-position model. The record is from RNAcentral.
UACGAAGGGGGCUAGCGUUGUUCGGAAUUACUGGGCGUAAAGCGCACGUAGGCGGAUAUUUAAGUCAGGGGUGAAAUCCCGGGGCUCAACCCCGGAACGGCCUUUGAUACUGGAUGUCUUGAGUCCGGAAGAGGUGAGUGGAAUUGCGAGUGUAGAGGUGAAAUUCGUAGAUAUUCGCAGGAACACCAGUGGCGAAGGCGGCUCACUGGACCGGAAUUGACGCUGAGGUGCGAAAGCGUGGGGAGCAAACAGG